ACAGCUUGUCAGAGUCCUUUCUUUUUGGCGUGGGUCAGAGAAAGGCAUGAAAACAUUUCUAUUUUCAAAUAAUGCAGAUAAACAAUCCCUCUUCCGAGGAAACGCCCUGUGCUGCUGGAACUCGGUGGCCAGGGCUUCACCUAGCUUCUCUUCAAUCCAGAAAGAAAAUCACGGGAGAGGCUUGAGACUUCCCCACAUGACAGCAAUUCUUACCGUGCCUGAUGUGGUUCGUCCUGUAGUAUGGGAAGUUGGCCAAAGCACUGCAUUGAGUGUCCCCAGGGUGGCCAAUGGACUGAAGGCAAACUGCGCAUGUGGGAUGAGAAGGACACUCGCUCUUGCAAUGACUCCUUAUGAAGGAGGCCUUUUGAAAAAUCUGCACUCGGCUGAAUCUUCCCGUGCACUGCCGUGGACAUACUCACCAGCCACCCGAGUCAGGCAGAGCAGGAUGCAGCCAGGUCAAAACGGACACAUGGAAUAAGAGAUCCGAGAAAGGGGAAGUUAGAGAGAUGCUGGAAUUUGGAUGUUUUUCUAGAUUUCAUUAAAAGUUAGAAAUAUAAAUCAUCUGAAACCUGUAAAGUUUUUGAUUGGAACAGACCUUAAAGUGAAAUUUAAAAUGAAAAGUAA
Ictidomys tridecemlineatus (thirteen-lined ground squirrel) is the source of this 624-nucleotide non-coding RNA. The record is from RefSeq and is a predicted model, not a curated record. Lineage: Eukaryota; Metazoa; Chordata; Mammalia; Rodentia; Sciuridae.